GACGAACGCUGGCGGCGUGCUUAACACAUGCAAGUCGAACGGUGAUCUUGAGAGCUUGCUCUUGGGUGAUCAGUGGCGAACGGGUGAGUAACACGUGAGUAACCCGCCCCUGACUCUGGAAUAACUUCGGGAAACCGAAGCUAAUACCGGAUAUGACACAGAGCCGCAUGGUUUCUGUGUGGAAAGUUUUUCGGUUGGGGAUGGACUCGCGGCCUAUCAGCUUGUUGGUGAGGUAAUGGCUCACCAAGGCGACGACGGGUAGCCGGCCUGAGAGGGCGACCGGCCACACUGGGACUGAGACACGGCCCAGACUCCUACGGGAGGCAGCAGUGGGGGAAUAUUGCACAAUGGGCGAAAGCCUGAUGCAGCGACGCCGCGUGAGAGAUGAAGGCCUUCGGGUUGUAACCUACUUUCAGUAGGGAAGAAGCGCAAGUGACGGUAC
RNAcentral lists this ribosomal RNA (442 nucleotides) under uncultured bacterium. RNAcentral's name for it is "bacterial SSU rRNA". It matches the Rfam family "Bacterial small subunit ribosomal RNA", at positions 28 to 478 of the family's 1533-position model. The record is from RNAcentral.